This 64-nucleotide transfer RNA is filed under the name Didemnum vexillum. Its description in RNAcentral is "tRNA-Ala". Lineage: Eukaryota; Metazoa; Chordata; Ascidiacea; Aplousobranchia; Didemnidae. The record is from RNAcentral.
UAAUCCAUAGUUUAAAUAAAAAUAUUAUAAUUGCAUUAUAAAGAUAAAUUUUUUUUUGGAUUUA